GUCAGAGGCUUGCCCUGACGCAGUCAGGGAGCAGCCAUCAAACCACCUUACGCUGCAUAUCUGGGAAAUCAAUAUGUGGUGAGCGGUAAGGAAAAACGGGGACUUUGAUCCCUGUAGGU
Molecule: non-coding RNA, 119 nt
Organism: Lunatimonas lonarensis
Lineage: Bacteria; Pseudomonadati; Bacteroidota; Cytophagia; Cytophagales; Cyclobacteriaceae
Source: Rfam